RNAcentral lists this long non-coding RNA (28074 nucleotides) under Ananas comosus (pineapple). RNAcentral describes it as "long non-coding RNA (ACOM_LNC041603)". The record is from RNAcentral. Lineage: Eukaryota; Viridiplantae; Streptophyta; Magnoliopsida; Poales; Bromeliaceae.
GGUCUAAUACAUCUUUCAACAAAAACAAAAGAAAGGUGUCCACCUAGGCAAAAAUCUCCCGAGGGCUCUAGCUAGUCGCAACUCCCUUGUUGCGGUCCCUAUCUUCUCUCGCAGUGGAAGACUCUGAAAACAAAAGCAACAAAUACAUGGGGGUGAGAACUAUUAAACAAUAGUUCCGAGUGGGUAAGCCAUCGAAAAAAACGAAUUACACCACUAGGUCAACUGAGGCAAAAGUAAAAGUCAUUACUAAUAAAGUAUGAAUAAUGUUAAACAUUAUGAUUCAAAUACUACUAUGCCUCUAAUUAACUAUGUUAUUUAACAAGUAUGGAGUCUAUACUAUCACAUGAAUGAGCAUACAAUGACUAAUAGUUAUAUCCAAAUGUCAUGCGCUAGCUAGUAGUAAUGUUCAACAUUAAGUUUGAUUACAAUUACCCAAUCAUCGAGGACUUACACAAGGUAUAGUCCCGACUUGUGUCGUGCCUAAUUAUCCCGUGGUAGUCAAUAUUUCCUCUCUAGGAAUGAGCCUCGCCUCCACUUCAGCGCCCAAUCCCGCAUGGGCGAGCAUGAUGUCAAAUUCUAAUUGUUCAUUUAAGUUAAGUGCAACAUGCUUAACUCCACAUUUUGUCACUAACAUGCAUUAUGUCAUUUUUGCCUUUGUCAAAAACAAGUAUAUUGGUUGCCAUGCAAGUUGAACAUAAUAAUUCCACUAACCAUAUGAUGUCCCAUUGUAACGUAUGGAAACUUGGAGUUGCGAUGUCAACUUUGACCUAGAGGGUCAAAGUGAGGAUUGAGCUAGUUGGACAUCAUCCCCGAGUGAUUUGUGAUGCGUGUGAAUGAAUUCUGGAGAUAAAUAAGUGUUUCGGCGCAAAUUGGGCGCGAAACGAAAUAUAAAGAGAAUUUCAGAUUUCCGACGCUAACUUUGAUUAAAAGAAUUAAAGUAAGGCGUGAGGAUAAAUUGUGGUAUCUCCGAAUCAAUUGUGAAGUUUUGGAAAAGCCAAUGGUGUGCUUUCAAAGGGUUUUGAAGUGUUCAGUGCGAAGUGGUAGUGCAAAAAGGAGAAAUUUCUGCCGUAUAAUGAAAUUGGAGCUGAUUCUAUUGCUAAUUCGGCUCCAAUAAUGUCAAAAUGCAAAGGAAUUGCUUCCAAAUUGGAUUGGUAGCUUGUGAAGGUCCCUUGGUAUCUUUUGGACAUGUUUGGGUGAAAUNUCUGUGAGAUGAAUGCUUGUAAUAGCAUUGUUAGCCUUUUAUGUUUUUUGAUACUUAUACAAUCUAUGUGUGAAUGCUGUUCCUGGUUGGGACCUCUUCUGUUGCAUUAUAUGGAUUGUGACGCCUAGGACGUACAGGGAAAGCUCUGUCCGUUCGGCGGUCUGUCGGCGUGCCCGAAUCUGACCAAAUUGGCGGAGCUCGGGGCGUGUCACCCAUAGGAUUUUUCAUUUACCCAUCUCUAACAUGCAUUUCUAUAUUUGCAUAAAAGGAAAUACAACUACAUACCAUAUUAUAUGCAUGUUCACAUCAUAAUUUUCUACUACAUAGAGUAUGAAAACUUUUAUAUUUAACAUGUGUGUAUCAUGUACCCUAAAAUCCUAUCAUGUCAUGAAAAGCGUGAAUACGCCUCAAUUUAAAUCCUAUAGCAAUAUAGGAGGCAUAGGGGGAGGAGUUCACCAAUUUCAAUAAGGUCAAACCCAUCGGAUAACCUUUGAACUCGUUCGUUUUCUCAAACGAAGUUGCCCACAAGACUUCUAGCACCCUAAGGAAAAUUCUCAAAGGGUUACAAGCUUCUAAAAUGCUCACCACGAAAUUCACCAAAAAUUCAAAAAAAAAAAGGUGAAAAUUAUCUUUGACCAAGUAGAACUUGUCCAAAGUCCAAAUCAAAGCUAAGAAACUUCAAAUCCAACCUAAAAGAGUGUUCCACACUUAUUAAUUCAACCCCAAAAGUAUAAAAUCAAGAGAUUCCAAAAUAAACCCUAGUUUCCUCAAAACUAGAUUUUCUUCCAAAAUUUUUCCAAAAUUUAUAAUUAGAGGAUGUAAGAAGAUUACUAAUCUCAACACAAUCUCCAAAUCAAGCUGGAUGAUGCUAGGGUUGGAGUUAAAUCCCUAAACAAACUCCUUUCUUCACUCCCAAUCUCCCUUCAAGGUCCAAGUAGCAAGCUUCCAUAAAGAAGAAGAAGAAUAAGAGCUCAAAUCCCAAGAUUUAAAGGUUUGGAGAGGAAGAAUUCGAGAAAAAGAGAGAACACUCACCUUUUUCUCUCUCUAGCACUCAGCACGAAGGGGAAACAAAUAAAGGAAUGAAGGGUUAUACACAUGAUGUAACAAUCCCCCUUAGGCCCCUUAAAAACUCAAAAAUUGCAUACUGCACGAAAUUUGAUUCAACAGCAUUGGGUACCGGUACACGAAUUGGAGUACCGGUACUCGGCAAUUCAAGUGCCAAGGGUCCAGUUUUGCAAAAUCAUAACUUUGUUAAUUCAAAUUUUCAGCUGCAUUCCAGUAUGCUCGAUGUAGUACCGGUACUCAGCUCAAUAACGGUACACACAACCCGGUUCCGCAAAACCUGAGAGUUGCUUGUUUCGGCACUCCACUGUGUUUCGGUACCUCACACCAAUACUAAUACUCAACACCAAAAAUAUGUAAUUUGUGGAUUUUAAUGUCGAAAACCCAUUCUAACACCUAAAGAGCUCCAAAAAUAGGUCGGCACACUUCAGACGACCCUCACAACUUCCAGAAUAGCUCAAAAUACUAUUCUUACACUGGAACCUUAUAAUUUGCUAAAGUUUAAUGUAUUACACUCUACCCUCCUAAAAAGGAGUUUCGUCCGCGAAACUAGAAGUCGAGUACCUCAAGAAUCCAUAUGGAGAGAUGGGGAUAACGCUCUUGCAUCGCACUCUCCAACUCCUAAGUAGCCUCGCGCUCGUCAUGGUUGCUCCAAAACACAUUCACAUAAUGAAUUGCAUGAUUUCGGAGUUUCUUUACAUCGCAAGCCAAAAUCCUCAUAGGAUGCUCCCCAAAGCUCAAGUCCUUGUGCAACUUUAACGAUGAGACCGGUCCCUGCUGGGGAGAGACCGGUCCCUCUGGGCGAAAACUGCCCAGACCGGGCUGUUGCAAUAAUGAAUUUUUGAGGGGCCUCACGGGAUUUUGUUACAUUAGAUGGGCUUAUUAGCCAUUUCCUCCUCUUCCCUCUCUCAUUUCCUCAUUCUCACCCCUCCCAACACCUUCUAGAGAGAGAAGAAGAAGAAGGAGGAGAAGGAGAAGAAGAGGAAUUUGCUUGAGGGAGCUUGGAGCUCAACCCCUUUCUCUCUUUCCCACCUUUGCAAGGCUUGGAGCUUGCUUAUAGGGCUUGGUGGUGGGCCAAUCUUCAACCCUAGAAGAUUUGGAGCUUGUUUUGAGGUAUCUAGAGAGGUUAGUACUUUGAUUCUACCCUUUGAUUCUUGUUUCGGUAGAUUUUGCCAUUUGAAACCCUAGAAUGGGUAUUAGGGUUGAUUUUUGGGGCUUUUUGAUCUAGGGCUUUUGGGGCUAGAUUGAUUGGUUUAGAACCUUCCUUGGGCUUGGAUUGGAAGGGUUUUAGCUCUCUUUUGGAGCUUAGGUGUAAGGGAAGUGAAUUCUCGAAAUCUGAGGAUUAGACUUCGUUGGGAAUCGACUGAUUGUCGAGUGUGUAAGCUUCGGAAAGUCCGAAGGUGGUUAUAAUGCAUAAAGUGCAUUGAGGAGAUGUCCGCGAGAGCACCAGUGCGAAAACAGCACUGGGGCAGAAAUGCUCUCGGGGACCGGUCCCUGGCAGGGAGGGACCGGUUCCAUCGGGCUGGGCUGUGGGGAUCUCUGAUGAGACCGGUCCCUGGCAGGCAGGGACCGGUUCCCGAACGUUGGCCCAGCGAGAGAGAACCGAAAUUUGGCUAAGUCCCAAAAAUGUUGCUCUCGGGAACCGGUCUCUCGGACAAGGACCGGUCUCCCGGGGACCGGUCUCUCAGGUAAAGACCGGUUCCCGAACGCGAAAAUCCCUCUGCCUGGUUGGGCAGUUCUCCGGGUGCCGGCUUGUACGGGAGGGCGAAGCCCUCACCAAAGCAUGGUGCGAAAUGAGCACAAUGGCAAGUAGUCAAACGAUUGUCGAAGAUACCUAAGUCCUCUAAUGUCUAAUACUGGAAUGUGUCAGAUAUUCCAAAUGGCCUAUCCCCUAUGUCCAUGCAUGCUCUCUAACAUUGGAAUAUAGCAGAUAAUGUCAGUGGCUAUUCGACUUGUCUCUAUGUUGCCAGGUUUCAUAGUGUUACUAGUUUCAAGUGCCCUUUAUGAACCUCUGCUCUCUAUGUCAAAUACAUGGAACUAUGUUCCAGGUACUAUUCCAAGUCAUCAUCAUCAUAAGAGAUGUAUUUUUCAUUUGCAAAACAAGUACAUUUCCGUAUGGCAUGCAUUCACUCACUAUAAGCCCUCUACUAGUAUAGUGAAGAUUUUCAUAAUAUCAAAGGCAUGCAUUUUUAAUGUGCUGCUAAAAUUCAUAUAAAUCGCAUGUAGAUAGAAAUGAACUUAUAAAUUAUUUACAACAAGUAGAAAGACCAUAGCGGGCCAUUUUCGCCCCAUUUCAACGAAGCCAACCACCGAUGACAAAACUCCUCGUGUGCGCAUCACAACGAGGGUGUCCUCUAGCUCCUAGUACCCUAAAGGUAUAAAACAUGUGGUCACACGAACGAAACGAACCAUCAUAGCUCAUCAUUAGAGUAGACAAGUAUAUGGUGGAGAAGAACUCACCUCUAGUGUAAAAAUCUCACUACUAAACCUCCAGAAAUGAAGCUUAGGGCUCAUCCAUCCAACUAAUGGAAGCCUCUAUCCAAACAAUCUAGCCUCAAAAGCUCUAGAUUCAAAAUGCCCAAAAUAAACCCUAAUAUCAACAAUCUAGGUUUCAAUUCAAAUAAAGCCUCAAAAAAUGAAUCAAAAAAGGUGGAAUCAUGUUUCUAAGCCUCUUUGGAAGCACCAACUUUAGCCUCUCAAUCCAAAGUGGGGUGGCGAGAUCUCCUCAGCCCACAAGCUCCUCUCAAGCCUAAGCUCACACAUGGUGGAGAAGCCACCAAGAUGCAAAAAAGAGAAGAAGAAAACCACAAAUACAAUAACCGAAGCAAAGGUAAAAAUGGCAAGGAAAGGGGAGAGAGAGCUCCUCUCACGCUUCUCCUCCUCAGGUCCAGCACAAAGAGGCCUUAAGGGCGUGGUGUGUUAUAGAAAAGCCACAAUCGCUGAAAAACCCCUCAGUUCAAACUGCAGACGAAAUCAGCCUACCUUGUACCGGUAACGGUUCUUGUACGUACGAAGGCCGACGAAAGAUUGCAAACCGAGGCUCAGUCGCGCGGUUGCGGCUCUGUACCGCAGGUACAAGCCCGAUGGCUUGUACGACAACCAUCANNNNNNNNNNNNNNNNNNNNNNNNNGCCAUCGCGAUACAUAUUCGCCGUGCGGGAUUGGGCGCCGAAAUGGAUUGCCGUGGGCCAGGCUCAUUCCUAGGGUGGGGAUGAUGACUACCACGGGGCCAUUAGGCUCGGCACCGGCCAGACCGCCUUCGGGUGGGUCUCAGGGCCAUAGACAGCCUUCGGGUGGGUCUCUUCAGAUUCGACUUGAGCAUUCGUUAUGACAUGUGGACAGAUGAUGAUUUAGAGUAUUGUUUGGACAUUGACUAGAAUAGUAAACAAUAGAACUUUACUAUUUCGCAUUGUGAACAUUAUGAUAGUUGGGGACUUUUACUUCAUGUAUGGUUGUUUCAUACUGAUGCUAUUUAGGCUAAGUAGAGAUAUCAUGUUGUAGUAAGUUACAUUUUACUUACCUUUCGCUUUCCUACAUUUAUAGUCACUAACCUCUUUUGUAGCUUUGGGCCUUGUGGUGCAUUCACUGAAGUCAGUAAUUGCCCACUGGGAACUAUUUUUGAUAGUUCUCACGCCCCUGUUUCUAUGUUUCCUUUUCAGAGCCUUCGGCACCGGCGGAGGCACGGGAUCGCGGCAAGGGGAUCGCGUAGCUAGCUAGCGAGGAGCUUACUUGCCUAGGUGGUUUACUCUUUCUUUUGUAGUUGAGAGAGUGAGAGUUUUUGUACCCUGUAUAGAGACCACCUAUGUAUCUACUCAUAGUACUUGUCUUUGGGAUUUCCUAUUGUAUUUACUUUAUGUUUUAUUUAGUGGACUUACAGUUUGAACUUUAUCCCUUGUUGUUAGCAAUUAGACAUUUUCUAUGCUCUGAUACUCCUAGAUGUCUUUUAUUAUUGCUCUUAUCAUCGUUGUUUUUAGACGCCUUAUAUGUUGUAGACAUAUGGCGGGUCUGGGCACGCGCCGGGCGGGCUUUCGUUGGGUCCCGGGGCGUGACACCUACGGGGUCGAGUGGGACAGACACAUUCCAAGAGUAGGGAUGUUGGGCUACCACAGGCACUUAGGCGGCACAAGCUGGACUACCUUGGGUAGGUCCCUAAUUGGAAAUAAAAAUCGACACGGUUUGAGAAUGAACAAUCACUACAAGACAGUUUGGUAGUUGGAUUACAUUUACAUGCAUAUAGCCUAGGGUUGAGACAUGUAGUAUACUUGACAGUUACCUAUUUCAUCACGGUAUACUUGGUUGCCAUGAUAGAGCUUAUACUUCAUGUAUGAAUAAAGGGUUGUAACAGUAAACUAUUGCCAUUGGUUACUUUUCCUUAUGAUAGAAUAGGUGUACAACAUUCGACAUCUUGCUUAUGAGGAAUAUAGUAGUAUAGCAUUCUACUUAUGCAUUCUCUUUCAGUAGUCAUUUACAUACUCCUUUUUAUUGCUUAUGGCUAUUAGCAUUACUUACCCUUGUUUUGGGGCCUAGUGGAGCAGGAGUUGAGGUCAGUAAUUGCCCACUGGGAACUAUAAAUUAUAGUUCUCACGCCCUCUUUUUCUCGAUGUUUUUCAGAGCCUUCCUCUCAGGGUGAGGCCAGGGACCGCGGGAAGGGAGUUGCUUCGAGCUAGCUUCCUACGAGGACGACUUGCUAGAUGGUCUACCUCUCGUUGUACUUUAUUUUGGAGAGGUUGAGAGUUUUACCAGGGUACUAGAGACCGCCAUUUUUGUAUUGGAGGCUAAUACUGUAUAACUUAUGUUUACCUUUAUGUAUUAGUUAUGUUCUAUUACUAUUUGUAUAGAUGUUAGAACUUUUCUUGCUCUGAUAUCAUUAGAUGCUUGUUAUUUCACUUCUUUUAUUUGACCCAUUCCUUGCUUUUACUUUCGCUUUUCUUGUAGACGCCUUAUAUGUGUAGACAUAUGGCGGGUCUUGGCACGCUACCGGGAGGGCCUCCGCCGGUCCCGAGGCGUGACAGAUUAAUUUGGUAUCAGAGCGAGUUAAGAGCAAGCAAAGAGAGAGUCUAGGAUGGACCUAGGAGACCCUAGGACGGUGAACCCUAAGGUUAUAGGUGCGUGAGUGCGACGUGAACCUAUACGGUGGCGGAAGUUGAUCGAUUGGGUCAAGCCGAGCGGCGUGCGCCGCGGGAGGCCGAUUGCGAGUGACGACGAGCAAUCGGAACGCUGUAAAAAGGUGGGGGAGUGCCAUCCCGAAGUCAUCGGGCUUCUUCCUAUGUCUUAGUGUUUAUCCGUUCACAUGUAGCAUAUUGUAUGUUGCUAUGCAUUAUAGGAUGACAAUACAUGCAUUCCUAAUCCUUAUAUGAUGUUUAUGAUCAAUAUAGUAUUAUGAUAUGGAUAUAUGAUGUGAUGGACAUAAGGAUUAUGAGAUGACAUUAGUAAACCUAUGAUGCUAAAUGAGAGAAGAACCUAGUGUUGUGUUUGAAGACAUAGUUUACAAGUGGCAUUGAACUCAUUGUGCUAAAAACACAUAUGACUUGAGCUAGUAAUGGAUGUUGUUGCACUAGAAACGUCUAAGUAACAUUGAUCAAGUUGCAAUAUUGGGAUAUUGCAUUAUAUAGUCUUAACUAUGUUGGCAUGUUACAUGUUAUGGCAUGCUAGUUGCGGAGUGUAGUGUUACUUGAUUAAUACUGUACCUUAGUAUGCAUGAGAUUGGGGACUAUAGUGUGGUGAAACCCUAUAAGGGCAUGAUUAUUGUGGUUAACUUUUAGUUGGACAUUAAUCGAUCAAGUUGGCAUAUUAUAAUUAUCUGCAUAUUACGGUGCUAAGAUGAUUUAUGGUUAUUUGCUUAUAUUUGCAUGUACGUAGUUAUAAUUUUGUUGGUGAUCCAGGAUCUAGAUAUGCAUUUUGAAACUAUAUUGUUGAAUACUAGACCUAAUAGGUAUUAAUGUCCUAUGUUGCUAAAGAACUAGUAAGUGUUAACUAGUGUUGAUAAUGAGUCAAAAAUUGACGAGUGGCGACUUAUUUAGAAAACUAGAUGAGGCAUAUGAUUUUGUUUGAGCUUGAUAGGAGAAACUAGUGUACUGAGACACUAUUGCGAUUGGAAAUACAUGUAUAACCUUGCUUCCCAUGUAUAAUUACCCUCAAAGGGUUUUGUUGUUGCUCGUGAGAUGCAUCUUGCCACAUUGCCUGUCUGCGCUUUGUGGGGUCGCUCCCCCAGGUUGUGCGCUCCGGAGAUUUGUCACUAGAGAAGGCAGCCCGUGCUUGCUGCUCGAUAGCCCGCUUGUUUGAUCCGCCAGGUGUACUCGCGGGAUAGUCAGCUUUAGGACAAUCUGCUCGGAGAUUGAUAUGUGACCUUGCUUGUGAACCACGAGUUCACCUUGAGCAUUGGGUUACCUAUUGAGCCCAAUAUCAUUGUUGUUGUUUCAUGAUAGCUUGCUUCCCAUAUGUUGUUGUUGUUGAUCAUAGUGCCUUAUGGCUUACCGGCUACUUGGUGGUGCUAAUGAAUAGCCUAUUGAUAACCUUAGGGUAUGUAGUUAACCUUCACUAGACUUACCUUGAUACGAGAUAAGUCGCUUGGAGUUGUUUAGCGGAUUUGCCUAUAUACAGAGUGGGUAUAUUAUUCCUUUCACCUAUGAGAUUGAGUAGAGUAGCUCUUACGUAGAUAGGUUGAGAUGUGAGUUGGCAAUAGUGCCGCGUAGCGCUUUGCCUUAGGACCUAGAGAUGUGAGUCGGCGAAGGCGGGGUAGCUCUUAUGCCUGGGACUCAGCGCAGAUUGGGUCAAGACCUUUGAGAUAUGAGUCUGAUGUGAGACAAGAAUGAGGUAGCUUUCACCUAUAGAUUUGAAGAUCUUAGGCAAAGUAGCCAGCGGAUGCGGUAAUAACAUGAAUACACAUAAGAGCUAUAGCAUUCAUACCAUGAUUAGGACAUUAGUGCAUUGCAUAACUAUGUUGUUGUUUGUAUUAUUUCACUGUUGAGAGCAUACUAGCAUGAUGGUAGGUUAUUGCUAGAUGAUGUUCCAUGCAUACUUUUCAUUUGAUGGCAUAGUAGAUAUACUAGUAGUAUUUCCAUAUAUCUUUCUAUCUAUCUAUCUGUGCCAGCUUGGACCUAGUGGGAAGAUCGGCGGAGUCGGCGGCCGAACCCACUGGGAACUAUAUUUAUAUAGUUCUCACCCCGUGUGGUUUUGGGGUACAGGUACACACGAGAGCGGAUCGGCAGAGGAUCGCGUUAUGGGCUUAGCGCCCUAGUGCUAGUUGAUAGUUUACUUUCCUAUUUUGCAUUAGAGUUACCCUAUACAUGUAUUGAGAGUAGAUGAUGUAUAGGAUGUGAGGUAUUUUGAGAUAAAUGUAAACUAAUGUUUAUCUUUUGAAGAAUGUAAGCUUAUAUUCAUAGUUUGGAAAAGAAUGCAAGUUGUAAUUAAAUGUAUCGAGCUGAAUGGUUGUAAUAGAAUAGUUAAGUAUCUCUCUUUUGUUUCACUUGUAUGUCUUCUACUUGUGACGCUUGCUCUUGUAGUGUUCAGCACUGUUUGUGCUCUCGUCGUUGUUGUAUGAUUGUGUAUGUAUUCAAGUGUUUUCCUGGGAACUUGUUGUACACAAUCUUGUCAUUUGAGCCUUGGGCGGACAGGGGAGACUCUGUCCGUUCGGCGUCCGUUCGCCGCGCCCGAACCGUGCCAAAUCGGUAGCGGCCUCGGGGCGGGGGCGUGACAAAUCCAGUCAAGUGCCUAGUGCUUCAUGAAAUCUUUUCCAGAAGUGCGAUACAAAUUUAGGAUCUCGAUCUGAUACAAUAGAUAUAGGCACUCCAUGAAGUUGCACAAUCUCAUCAAGAUACACUUAUGCGAGCCUCUCUCCAGUCCAAGUAGUGUGAAUAGCAAUAAAAUGUGUAAAUUUUGUUAACCUAUCCACAAUCACCCAAAUAGCAUCUGUCACGCCUCGAGCCCGGCCUAUUUGGUCGGUUCGGGCACGUCGUACAAACGCCGAACGGACAGCACCUCCCCUGUCCGCCCAAGGCUCAACAAGUACAGAUCAUGUAUAUAGAGAUUUGCGCAAGCAAAAACAGAUAUAUGCAUGGCUUGCACGAAGGCAAGCAAUAGCCAAAAGUGAAAGUACUAAACUAAAUGCUCAUACAAGUAUAAUGAUUAUCUUUUAAUCACAUACAUGCAUUCAACCACAUGUUACAUUUACAUUCUUUUCAUCAUUUCUUUUUAGAUCACAUGAUCUCUCCAAAUUACAUAACAAGUUUUCAUCCAAAAACUUAAGCUUUUACAUUUAAACAUAAGCUCUCUUUACAUCAUUUAUUAUACUAGAAUCAUCAAAUACAAAAGAUGAUAUAUAAAGGGUAUGAAACUAAGCAAAAUGAGAAACUAACUCGGGUGGUCACUAGCUAUGGCGCGAUACCCUUACCGCGAUCGUCGGCCAGUUCACUCGAUCCUGGCUUUGUGGAAAAUAAUGGGGUGAGAACUACAACAAAGUUCCCAGUGGGUUCGGCCACCGACCUCGCCGACUUUCCCACUAGGUCUAAAUCAGGCAUAAUAGAAGAAUAAAUAGAUAGAUAGUAACCAAGCUAAACAAAUGCAGCUAAUAUGCCUGAACAAUAAAUAACAAUGAGCAUGCUCAAUUAGAAUGAUCAUGAUGAAUGCAAGAUCCCAAUUCAAUUACCCAAUCCUUUUGACUAACCCGUAGGUUUCACCCUCAAUCGACUUACCAAACUCAAAUCCUUUUUUAUAUGGCCCUCAGCUGCCUCCCGACAGGACCGUCUUCUGGGAAAAAGAGCAACCCAGUGAUGACAACUCCGGAGCUCAUCGCUCGAGGGGGAGCAACCAUCCUCAAGCCAAGACUUAUAGGUGAGUAUGAUCCAAUCCUUAACUAUAAGGAUUCCAAGUUCAAUACAUUCCUUAACUAUAAGGAUAUAAUGCUCACAUGACCCUUAACUAUAAGGUUAUUAUGUCAUAAUGUCAACUAUCUCAUUUUACUUGCAUUCUUUAACUUUCAUGGUGCCACACUAAGUGUUAUUUCUAGCAUUCAAUACUCAUUAAUGCCACACUUGUACACUAGCACUCUUGACUCUUUAAUGCCACUCAACCAUUUAUGUCAUAAUGUCAUUAUGUCUCUAAUGUCACUAGAUUCUUGUCAUAGUUUAUGCAUACAUAGAGUUUUAUAAGUUCUCAAUAGUCCAAAACAUUUCAUAUGCACUAGCAUUAAAUCAUUCAACCAACUUAUGCCCAACUCACCCUACAAUGCAUGAAAAAGCUAUAGUCACAUAUGCUAAAAAAUGACACUUUAGACAUAAAAGAAAAUUCAGGGAUUUCGGAAAGCACCACCCAUCUCGUAUGGUUGCUAGGGUGCUACGGUUCAUGUUUCGUGAUUUUUGGGCACGUAUUUUCUCGCCUGCGCCAAAAUGAAGCCAAAUUAGGCUUUUUUCUCCAAUAUCUUUGCGUAGACUCGUCAGAUUUUCGAACCGAGUCUCCAAACACGUUAUAAAUACCUCCAAUUUGGUUUCUACGCGGUCAAUUUACAUUUAAACCAACCUAUGGCAAAAGCCCCAAUUUUAGAGCCCUAACAAUGUUAUAUAGCCACAAACACCAUAAGGAUCUUUAAGAUAAGCAAAAACAAGCUUAAUGUCAUCUAGGAAUUCCUCUAAAACCAUUUCUAGGUGAUUUAAACCAUUCUUAGGGCAUUUAAAACAAACCCUAGGAUUCUACCAUGAGAGCUCAUGAGCAACAUGGAAUUUCAUGAGGUUCCAAGGUCUCUACUAGGUUUCCCUUCAUGUAAGAAGAUCAAAACCAAGUAUUCUAGGGUAUGAAACCAAACCCUAACAUAGUUCUUUCAAGAAAUCUCACCUUAGCCUAAAAGCUCUCCAAGUUCCUCCCUGUAGGUAAGCUCUAGAUCCUCCACAAGCUCCAAAAUCUCCUCCAAUCUUCUCUAAUCUCCUCCAAACCGCCUUGGGAGGGGGUUUCUAGAGAGAGAGAGGGAGAGAAAUAAGAGAGAGGUGUUGUUUUGACUGUGAACAAGAGAGGAGAGAUGUGGGGGUUUAUAUAAGCCGCCACAAUUGCAUUUAAGCCCUCCAAACAUUUUUAUUUGCAGCAGACUAAAACUACUGUUCGCAGUGCAGGGUAUCGGUACGCGGGUGGGCGUCACCAGUUAAGCCCUUGUUCAACUGUCCAAAUCUGAGAGCUACUGUUCUUGGGUGGCUGCGGGGUACCGGUGCGCAUCGGGGCCGUCACAGAUUAAGCAGCUUGACAAAGGCCUAACCCGAGAGCUGGCUUCUCAGGUGGCCUGCUUGGUACCGGUACUAUCACGCCCCGGGACCGGCGGAGGCCCUCCCGGUAGCGCGCCCAGACCCGCCAUAUGUCUACACAUAUAAGGCGUCUAGAAUAGAAGCGAAAGUAAAAGCAAGAAAUAUAGCAAAAGGAAAGAACUACAACUAAUGAUAUCAGAGCAGUAUGAUUCUAUCAUCUAUAAUAAGGUAAAAGGACAAUACUGAAGUAAUAAAAGUGAAACAUAAGGUUAUACAAUAUCUGUCCAAAAGGUACACAAAAGGGUGGUCUCUAGUACACUGGUACAGCUCUCAACCUCUCCAAAAUAAAAUACAUCGAGAGGUAGACCACCUAGAACUCGUCACUCGCUGAAGAGCUAGCUCGAAGCAACGUCCUUCUCACGGUCCCUAGCCUCUCCCGGCGUGGAAGGCUCUGAAAGAAAACAUAAAACAGAGGGCGUGAGAACUAUAAGUUAUAGUUCCCAGUGGGCAAUUACUGACCUCAGCUCAAUGCACCACUAGGCCCCAAAAAAAGGGUAAGUCAAAAGAGGGCAAUAAUAAUGAAUAAACUGCAUUUAUGAAAGUAUAAUUAAAAUGCUAAACUACUACACUGCAAUUAAACAUGAUGUUAAUAUAAUACACCUUUACUUUGUCAUAACCAAUAUGUCUCUACAUGGUCACAAGUUAAUGUCACGGUUUACUUAAUGAAGUUAUGAAGAUCAUGCUUUAUCAUGGCAACAAUGUAUAUAUGAAUGCAAUAAGCAACCUCUCCUAGCAUGCUACAUGUAUGUAUGUAUACUCAAUUGUCCCAAAACUAUGCUAGAAGCAAGUUCAAGUAAUCCAACUACUACUCUCUAUCUACUAGUGAUUAUAACACACUCGACACUGUGUCGAUUUCCAUUUCCAAUUAAGGACCUACCAAAGGUAGUCCAGCUUGUGCCGCCUAAGUGCCUGUGGUAGCCCAACAUCCCUACUCUUGGAAUGUGUCUGUCCCACUCGACCCCGUAGGCUUCUCAAUACCGCACGAGCGAACAUAGGUCGCGUAGGCUAACUCCGGAGUGCCGGCUUGUAGGGAGCGACCCUCACAAGCAUGUGCGAAUGAGCACAAAUAGCAAGCAAGCGUAGUCAAAGGCUCAAGUAUCCAACCCUCAUGUCUCAAACAUGGCAAUAGCUACUAGUAACCCAACGGUCUAGCUCUAUGUCACAAUGUGAUAACCCAACACUCACUUGCUUAGUGCCUCUUUAUGACACUUAAGCACCACCACUAAUCAAGCCCAAAUCAUGUUCUAAGUUCCUAUUUAAGACAUUAACAUCAAUACUCACUAUGGUCGGAGCCCAUUGCCUUUUUAUGACAUUGGCCCAAAUUCUCAAUAGUCUAAGUCCCAAAGCCUCUCUAGGCUUCCACAGUCUCUAAUGUCACAAUUGGGCAUAAAGGUUAAAUGCAUGAAAGCAAUAUCCAUUUUCAUAAUAGGAAUCACGGUUCAAAGUCCCAACUAGAAUGCUAUAUCCCACAUGCAUACACCUACCACAUAGAGGUCCAAAAAUUUACUAUACAUAACGUAUGAAUGUCAAGCAUUCUAAAAUUCAUAAUAAAUAUAUCUAACACGAUUAUGCAUGUUUUAUCAAUUAACGAUACUCAAAACAUCACAAAUGAGAUUUUCUCAUUGUGUGGCUAGGUCAAACCCACCGAACCGUCGCGUAGUCCCUCGAUUCGCCGAACGGAGUUGUCCACGAGUCUCAAAAUACCCUGAAAGUAUUGAACGAAGAGAUAUACGGGCAUUACGAUCAACUAUAAGAUCAAACAUUAACCAACAAGGCAAAAGGGCUAAAACUCACCUAAAGUGUAGAAAAACUCUCACAAGUUCCAAAAGAGAGCUAGAAUCCUUCCAAUCUAACCCAAAGGAAGAUUCUAAUCCAACUAAUUUAACUCCAAAAGUCCUAGAUUCAAAAUGCCCAAAAUAAGCCCUGAAAUCUCAUUCUAGGGUUUCAUCUCAAAACCACCAAUAAAAAUCCAAUCUAGAGGGAGAGAACAAGUUGCUUACCUCUUAGAAGCUUCAAUUUAGGCUCUGAAUCCUCCAAGUCCCAAGAUCUUCCCUCAACAAAGCACCAAAACCAAGCUCCAAGCUUCAUCCAUGGAGAAAAGUGUACCAAGAGGGAAAAGAGAGAGAUCAACACUUAAAUCCCAAGCUAAAAAGAGAUCAAAUCCAAAGGAGAAGUAUGGAGGAGCUCCCCUUACCUUCUCUCUGCAGUGGCAAGCUCAAAGAGCAGCCCUAGGGGCGUGGGUGCUGAUAUAAGAGACCCACAAACACGAAAAAUCCCCUGUAGUGCAAACUGCUCAAAAUCAGCCACCUUGUACCGGUACACGGGCCCUUGUUUCGGUACAAGCCCUGCGAAAGUCUCAACCCGAGGCUCGGGUUGGGGGGGUUCAGCGGCUCUGUACCGGUACAAGCCCGGUGGCUGUACCGGUACCCCACCAGAAAGUUUGGAAAAGCUCAGGACACAGUCCAAACACUCGAACCUCGCAAUUUGCAAAGGUCCAGUGUGUUACAGGUACUCCCCUGGUGCUUCACCAGUUAAGCAGUGCCCAGACUGCAGUUUUGGUAGUACUCAGUUCCUUUUCGCGACGAGCAACGCUAAAACCUUUCUAACACACUUGGAACUCAACUUUAACCCUUCCAACAUUGUUGGAAUGUCAAAUGGACUUUGUCCAACUAUUUUUCUCGCACAUUUUGGUCAAUUUGACUAAAAUUCGAUAUACUCUACCAAAGUUUCGGUAUAUUACAGCAUCAUGCCCAGCUUGUGAGUGAGGCAAGCCCACAAUGAAAUCUAUAGUGAUCUGCUCCUAUUUCCAAAUGGAUAUAGGUAGACUUUGUAGCGUUCCUGCAGGAAGUCGGUGCUCAACCUUUACCUACUGACAAGUGAGACAUCGAGCCACAGACUCGCCAACAUCGUUUUUCAUUCCGGGCCACCAAUAGAGUAGCUUCAAAUAUUUAUACAUUUUUUUACUGCCCAGAUUUAAGGUAUAAGAUGCUCGGUGAGCUUUUACUAGAAUCUCCUCUUUGAUUCCUUUCUCCGCCUGUACACAAAUUUGAUUUUGAAAUUGUAGUAUUCCUUGAUCAUCCAAUUGAAAAUCACCAGCAUGUGUGUUAUCAAUCUUAGAUCGAAUUUUUUGCAAUUUCAAAUCUUGGGCUUGCUUUUCCUAAAUCUUUUUUAUCAAGGUAGAUUGCACAACAAAAGACAACAACCUCAAAAGUGUGUCGGGAGUCACCACUUCCAAUUCCAUCCGCCUCAUUUCCACCAACAACGGUAGUUGAGUAACAAGUGACAUGGCCAAGUUUUCCAUCGAUUUGCGGUUUAAGGCAUCCGCCACCACAUUUGCUUUUCCUGGAUAGUAGAGUAUAGUUAAAUCAUAAUCCUUGAGUAGCUCUAACCAUCUUUGCUGACUCAAGUUUAACUCUUUUUGUGUGAAGAGGUACUUUAAGCUCUUGUGAUCAGUGUAGAUUUCACACUGCUCUCCAUAAAGAUAAUGAUGCCAUAGCUUUAAGGCAAAAACUACGGCCGCCAAUUCCAAAUCACGAGUUGGAUAAUUCUUUUCAUAAUCCUUUAGUUGGCGGGAAGUAUAAGCUAUCAUCUUUCUGUCCUGCAUCAAAACACAUCCUAAGCUAUUAAGUGAAGCAUUACUAUAAAUCACGUACCCUGCUCUAGUAUCAGGCAACGCCAAGUUCGGGGCGGUUGUCAACCCCUCUUUCAAUUCCAAGAAGCUUCGCUCACACAAGUCAUUCCAAAUAAACUUGGUUCCUUUAUGCGUGAGUCGCAUGAGGGGAGUAGACAACUUGGCAAAUCCUUCAACAAACCUCUGGUAGUACCCAGCUAGACCGAAGAAACUUCGAACCUCGGUGACACUAGUCGGUCUAGGCCAAUCUUUGAUCGCCUCGAUCUUCUUGGGAUCCACCACUAUACUUGCUCCCGAUACUACAUGUGUCACACCCCGGGACCCAGCGGAAGCCCGCCCAGUGUGUGUCUAGACCCGCCAUACGUCUGCAACAUAUAAGGCAUCUACAACAAAGCGAUAAAUAAAGCAGUAAAACAAAGAGAUCUAGGGAUAUCAAAGCAUACAACAUCUAAUAUCUAUGACAAGAAAAUAAAUAAAAGAGUCAAGAUCCACUAGGAGUAACCAUAACUAGUACAAAGGAUACCCGAAUACAAGUGCUAAUAGUAAUACAAAGGUGGUCUCUAUACAAGGUACCAAAACUCUCCCUCUCAACAAAACACAAAAGAGAGAGAACCACCUAAGCAAAAGGUAAGCUCCUCGCUAUCUAGCUACGCGACUCCUUUGCCGCGAUCACGUGCCUCCACCGAUGUAGAAGGCUCUGAAAGAAAACCACAAAACAGGGGCGUGAGAACUAUUAAAUAAUAGUUCCCAAUGGGCUAUUACUGACUUCAGUGAAAAGCACCACUUGGCCCAAAAGCUAAGCAAGUAAGUAAGUGCGAGUAUAUACACGACAUGAACGAUAAGCAUUUAAACAUGAAAGCUUACUAAACCAAUAUGUCUCUACUUAGCAGGAAUUUGCAUAAGUAUGAUUCUAUUUUAACAUGAAUAUGCAUGAAUAUACAACCAACAUGAUGUCCGCAAUGAAAAUAGUAAUAUGUCCUUGUUUACUAUUCUAGUCCAUGUUCACUUGGCAUAUUUAGUCACUAAAGUUCCAAUCAUGUAGGACCUACUCGUAGGUAGUCCAGCUUGCGUUGUGCCUAAUGGCCCCGCGGUAGUUAACAUCCCCACUCUAGGAAUGAGCCUCCCCCACGGCAUUCCAUUUCAGCGCCCAAUCCCGCAUGGGCGAGCAUGUGUCGCGAUGGCUAUCUCCGGAGUGCCGGCUUGUGGGGAGCGACCCUCACAAGCAUGUGCGAAUGAGCACAAUGGCAAGCAAGCGUAAAAGUCCGUCUCAAGUCCAAUGUCAUUAUGUCUAAAACAUGAAAUAUGGCAAAUGUCUCAAUGGCCUAUCACUAUGUCAUCAUGUCUAAAACAUGGAAUAUAGUCGAUGUCCCAAAGGACUAACACUAUGUCACUAUGUUGCAGUUUAAUAGUUUACUAAGUCGAGUGCCUGUAACAUGCCGAACUUCCAUAAUUAUGAAGUUAUGGUGUAUGUUAGCUUGGAAAGCCGUUAGAAUGGUUAUGGUGAAGUUCGGAAGCAUUCGAUUGCUUCAAUGCGUGUAGGGUGCGAAAACGUGGCCCGAAAGGCUAUGAUGGACCAUGGAUUAAAUCUAGCAAGGGCAUGGAUGAAAAGAUGGUUUAAACAUGUUCGAAAACAUGUUUGGAGAGUGUCGAUUCGAUUUGAAACGAAUCGGAGGUCAUACGAGCGAAAACGAGCGAAAACGGACCCGAAGGCUGAAAAUGCUGAAAAUUUGGCUAAGUCUGGAAUGCAGAAUUUUUGGACCUUCGGGGACCGGUUUCUCAUUGCCUGGGACCGGUCCCAGCACCCGAAAAUGCCCAGUUUGGGCUGGAUCAUUGUGUUAAACAUUGAGGGGUGUGGAGGGUUAUGUGCAAUUGUGUUUGGAUGAGGUUAUAUGUUGGAGAGAUGAGGUUUAGCCCUCAUUUCUCUCCCUCCAACCCAACAUGAGAGCUCUCUCUCUCUCUCUAGAUUUCUCUCCCUCUCUCUCUCCUUGAGGUGCUCCAAUGGUGGAGCCAUGGUGGAAAAGAGAAGCUUGGUGGAGAUGAACCCUCUUGUGCAAGCCCUAGCAUGGAGGAAAGCUUCAAGUUUAAGAUAAAUACCCUAGGUUUUGAGGGUUUUAUGGUUUUGAUGUUAGGGUUUGGUAUUUCCUUCUAGAUCUAGCUUCUAGGAGAUGUAAUGGUGAGGUUAUUCAUGGAUUUCUAUGGUCUAGGGACCUAUUUGGGUAAAGAUGAUAAACCAUAGGGGUUAGAAAAUAGGGUUUUGUAAUUAUGAGAUCUAACUUGGGAUUGAUCUCUUUCUAACCUAAUUGGUAGGUCAACGAACGCGUUGGUGUGCUCGGUUCGUCGAUUCGUCGAGCCGGUACGAAGAUAUUGAAGAAACAAGCUAAAUUGGUACAAAUGGCCGCAGCUCGCGGCGUAGGUGUCUAAAAAUCGUGAAAAUGGAAUUGGGGCUUCUCGGCAUUCCUACAAGGUGGGAGGUGCUGUCCGGAAACACCGGAUCUCUUUCUAUGUCUAUGUCACUUCUUUGAGCAUGUUGAUAAUGUUGUACUCAUGCAUGUAGGGUAAUGAGAUAAAUGUUGAUUGUAUCAAUUAUCUGUUUAUGAACAUUGCAAACAUGUUGUAGAGCCAUGAGAACGAGAAAAUGAACAACCCUAUAUUUAUGUGAAAGUGAGAAAAGACUUGAUGUCACGCCCCGGGACUCAGCGGAAGCCCGCUCGGCACGUGCCCAGACCCGCCAUACGUCUAAAACAUAUAAGGCGUCUAAAAACAGCGAUAAUAAAAGCAAUAAUAAUAGAUAUCUAAGAGUAUCAGAGCAUGAUUAAAGUCUAAAUUCUACAUCAAGGUAAGAAGAGUAAAGCUGAAAUCUACUAAUAAAAGCAUAAAGUACUACAAAGGAAAUCUCAAAUACAAGUGCUAAAAGUAAAUACAUAGGUGGUCUCUACACAUGGAUACAAAAUCUCUUACUCUCUCUCAUCUACAAAAAGAAAGAGUAAACCACCUAGUCAAAGAACCGCUCCUCGCUAGCUAGCUACGCGAUCCCCUUGCCGCGAUCCCGUGCCUCCGCCGGUGCAGAAGGCUCUGAAAGAAACCACGAAAAAGAGGGCGUGAGAACUAUUAAAAAUAGUUCCCAGUGGGCAAUUACUGACUUCAGUGAAUGCACCACAAGGCCCAAAGCUACAAAGAAAGUGGUCAGUGACUAACAAUGUAGUAAAGCGAAAGGUAAGUACAAUGUAAUUUACUAUAACAUAAGGUCUCUACUUAGCAUGAUUUGCAUAAAUAAUAAAGCAACGAUAUCAUGAAUGUACAUGGAUGUGUAUGACAUGCAUAAGCAUAGAAUGCAACUAAUCCGAUGUCCUCAAGGCAAAAAUAGUAAAGAUGUCAUUGUUUACUAUUCUAGUCCAAGUCCACUUUAAUAGUUUUAAAGUUCACAUAGCAUGUUCUGUCACUAAGUCCCAAUAGUGUAAGACCCACCCGAAGGCUGUCUGGCCUGCGCCGUGCCUAGUGGCCCCGUGGUAAUCAACAUCCCCACUCUAGGAAUGAGCCUCCUCCACGGCAAUCCAUUUCGGCGCCCAAUCCCACACGGGCGAGCAUAUGUCGCGAUGGCUAUCUCCGGAGUGCCGGCUUGCAGGGAGCGACCCUCACAAGCAUGUGCGAAUGAGCACAAAUGGCAAGCAAGCAAUGAUCCGUCUCAAGUCUCAAGUCAUCAUGUCUAAAACAUGGAAUACAUCGAAUGUCCCCAUGGCCUAUCUCUAUGUCGUCAUGUCUCUAACAUGGAAUAUAGCAGAUAUGUAUUGGCCUAUCAAUAUGUCUCUAUGUUGCAAUUUCAUAGUUUACUAAUUCUAGUGCCCCUUUAUGACACUUUUAUUCAACGAGUCCAAACAUGGUAUCAAUAUGUUCAUGAUGCAUAAUUCCACUCAAUUCAAACAUGGAGACAUGUUCUCAACUUGCAAAACCAAAAACCAUUCACAAUGCAUGCAAUCUACACAUAUAGCUCUACUAUAUAGAGUGCAAAUUUUAUGAUACAUGAGGCAUGCAUUUUAAGUGUUCUAAAAUUCACAUAAAUCAUGUUUAGUAUGAAUUUGCAUUCAAAAAUACUUUACGAAGAGUUUAGAAAGCAUAGGGGCCAUUUUGCCCCAUUUUCAUGAAGUCAAACCCACCAACGAUAAACGAAACCCUUCGUUUGCCUCAACGAAUGUGUCCUCUAGCCUCCUAGUACCCUAGAGGUAAGAAAACAAGUGUCACAAGAACCAUACGAUCAACACUAAACUUAAUCAUUAAGCUAUUCAAGCAUAGGUGAGGAAAACUCACCUCUAAUGCAAAAAUCUCUUCUAAUGCUCUAAAAGAGAGCUAGAAUCCUUCCAAUCCAAUCUAAUGGAAGAUUCUAGUCCACUCAAACAAGCUCCAAAAGCCCUAUAUUCAAAACGCCCAAAAAUAAGCCCUAAAACCACAUCUAGGGUUUCAUCUCAAAGAAACCUCCAAAAUUCAAAUCUAGAGGAAAGGAUCUUGUCACUUACCUCUUAGAAGCUCCAAUCCAAGCUCAAAGUCUUCUAUCAACCAAGAUCUUCCCUCAACCAAGCCUCAAAUCCAAGCUUCAAGCUUCAUCCAUGGUGGAAAAGGCACCAAAGGGCAAAAGAGAGAAGAAAUCCAUCAAAAAUCAUGCAAAAUGGAGAUCAAAUCCAAAGAGAUGGUGGAGAGGGUCUCCUUACCUUGUUUCCCUGAGUUCUCAGCUCAAGAGAAGCCCUAGGGGGUGUGGGUGCUGAUAUAAGAAGCCCACAAUCGCGAAAAACCCCCUACAGUUCAAACUGCACGAAAUCAGCCCCCUUAUACCGGUACACGGGCCCUUGUACCAGUAUAAGACCCACGAAAAGCCAAACCCGAGGCUCGGGUUGCGGGGUUCUGCGGCCCUGUACCGGUACAAGCCCGGUGGCUGUACCGGUACAACCAUCAACCUUGUACCGGUACAGCCACAGCCUUGCACCGGUACAAGCCCUGCUGAGGGCUACCCGAGAGCUGACCAACUUCCAAUUUUUUUGGGUUUUGGUACACAGCUUUAAACCACAAUUCUCGGGAUACGUGCCAUAGGUUGGAACACAGUCAACGACCCACCAGAAAAUCUGGAAAAGCUCAGGACACAUCCAAACACUCGAACCUUGCAAUUUGCAAAGGUCCAGUGCGUUACACUUGAUCCAUAGUAAAUAAAGGUGACAUUGACUCUAGUGACAUGAUUGGCACCGAGAACAUAUUGUGCUAUAUGAGGUAAAACCUUAAAGCAUUGUGAAAUAUUGACUAUUCCAUUAGUGGACGUUGUGGCUUAGUAAAGUGACAUACAUGAUUAGGUAAAGACCUAUCAUCGGUAUUGUGGCAUCAUGGUUAAAGUUAUAAAGACCAUUCUAUGCAUUGUGACCAUUGUAGCUUAAUAAAGUGACAUACAUGAUUAGGUAAAGACCUAUCAUCAGUAUUGUGGCAUCAUGGUUAAAAGAAAUGACUAAACAAGAUUUAACUUAUUGUGCUUAUUGUGGCAUCAGGACCAUUGUGAUAUUAGGAAAUGGUAGUAUAUGCAUCAAUAGGUAAAGACCUUUCAUCAGCAUUCUGGCAUUGAGACAGGUUUGGCUAUACCUCCUCAAUUUGAUGAGGGGAUCAUACUCACAUGUAUUGGUUCCGGCUUGUGGGAGGUCGCUCCUCCACAGGCGGUGUACUCCGGAGUGAUAAAAACACCACGGGUGAAAGUACCCGGCGAAGAUCCUUCGGGUGGUUGUGCCUUGUGCCUCCCCCGUUAGACGGGAUAUGUGGACUGUGAGUUGGGGUAAACCAGGAGCACCCCAGGUUGAUUGGGUAAAAGGCCAAAGAAAAGUGUGUGGACUGUGAGUUCGGGUAAAUCAGGAGACCCCGAGUUGACCAUAGGGAAGUGAAAAGGAUAUGCAUGCAUAAUCAUCAUGUGUUUGAAUAUGAAUAUCUAUCUGUGAUUUGCUUUCUUGCAGGCAUUGUAUUAGAAGUGCAUUAGUUGGUUUGUUAUCCUUCUUUAUUGAAAUACAUAUGCCUGAAAUAGACCUAGUGGGCGAAUCGGCGCAGUCGGUGGCCGAACCCACUAGGAACUUCUUCUAGUUCUUAUCCCACUAACCAUGCAGGUUCUAGCGCGAGCAGGGCGAUCGGGGCUCGUGGCGUGGUUAUCGUGCUCUAGGUAGCAUACUACCUUUAUGUAUAUAGAGGCAUCCUUGUAUAUUUCAUCUAUUAUGUCGAUGAUGUAAAAUGUAAAAUGUAAAUGUAACAAAAUCAUGUGAGAGGUGAAAAUAUAUUAAGUUCAUUUGAGAGAUGAAGUUGUAAAUUGAGAUGAAUGAAUGUAAAGAAAUUGUAUAAGCUUUGUAUUUGAUUGAAAGUGAUCAAUAUACAAUGUAUAAAUAUAAUAAUUAGAUUGCUCUCACUUAUGUUUGGUUGUUACUUGCCCUCGUGCAAGCCGUGUAUACUUGCAUUCAUUAUGUUUGAAUUGCUAUGUUAUACAUGUACUGUUGGAGCCUUGGGCGGACAGGGGAGGUGCUGUCCGUUCGGCGUCUGUUGACGUGCCCGAACCGACCAAAUUGGCGGUCACGGGGCGUGACAGUGUCCCUUUAUGGCACCUUUGUCCAAUAUGUUCAAACAUGAGUUUGGUGUCCCAGAAUACUUAAUUCUAAUCAUUUCCAACACAUGAGACAGGUUUCCAACUUACAAGAUAGAAUACUAUUCAUAUGCAUGAGUAAUACACUUAGCCCUCUACUACGUAGAGUCAAUUUUUCAUAAAACAUAACGCAUGCAUUUUAAGUAUUAUAAAAUUCAUAAAAAUCCUAUCUAGCAUGAAUAUGCAUGCAUUCCGAUGAUACGACAAAUAUUAGCAAUAUAGGAGAAGUUUUCUCCCAUUUCAUUGAAGCCAAACCCACCAAGACAUCAAGCGACCCUUCGUUCGAGCCGACGAAGGUGCCCGCUACUCUCCUAGCACCCUAAAGGAAAUAAAAAGGGAUAUACACGAACGUUACGAACAAUAGCGUGCUCAAUCAUUAACCAUCACAAGCAUAAGGGUGAAAACUCACCAAAUAUGAAGAAAACCUCUCUCGAUCCCCAAACAAGAGUAAAACCCCUUCAAUCCUAACCUAAACAAAGAUUCUAAACCAAUCAAUUAGGUUCUAGAAGCCACAAAACCAAAAUUCCCAAAAUAAACCCUAAAUCUCAUUUCUAGGGUUUCAUCUGGUAUAAUCUACUAAAACAUGAAUCGAAGGGGAGAUUAAGCUUACUAACCUCUCUAGAAUUCUAAAACAAGCUAGCAAGUGGGCUAGGGUGAAGUUCUCCCUCCAAAUGAGCUCCCACAAAAGCUUCAAGACUUCUACAAUGGUAGAUAUCCAACAUAGAGCAAGGAGGAGAAGAAAAAGGGAAUCAAAACUAGCUAAAAUCCAUCAAAAAUGGAGAAAAACUCAUGGGAGGGGGCCUCACCUGGUUCCUCCACCGGUUAGGGCUCAAAAGAGCUUCUAAGGGGGCUGGGGUGUUAUAUAGGGGAGCUACAAUUGCAAAAACACCCUCCCACAUGAAGCAGUCUUCGAACUGCAAUGUGUACCGGUACACAGGAAAGUGUACCGGUACAACACCAGCCAGACAGCAAACCCGAGUCUCGGGUUGGCAGAACGGCCCAUUUGUACCGGUACAAAUCCGAUGUUGUACCGGUACAGCCACCUAUUCCGGUACAACCUUGAUGGUUGUAUCAGUACACUCCUCUGCAGAGUGUAAUCCGAGAGCAGCCUAAGUUCUCCUCUUUGGGGACCUUAGCGCCAAGUUAAAAACCACAAAUUCUCGAGAUGCAAACCAUAGGUCGGAACACUGUCAAUGACCCUCCAGAAAAUUUGGAAAAACUCAGAACACAGAUCAAACACUUGAACCUCGCAAUUUGCAAAGGUCCAGUGUGUUACAACAUGUCCCAAGAAUGCUACUUCGCAGAGCCAAAACUCACAUUUCUUCAAUUUAGCAAAAAGCUUCUUCUCCCUAAGUAUCUUCAAUACUUGUCUUAAGUGAGCUUCAUAUUACUCGUCACUUUGGGAAUUCACCAAAAUGUCGUCUGUCACGCCCCCGCCCCGAGGCCGCUACCCAUUUGGCACGGUUCGGGCGCGGCGAACGGACCGCCGAACGGACAGCACCUACCCUGUCCGCCCCAGGCGCCAACAACAAGAUUGUGUACCACAAGUUCCCAGGAAAACAAAACUUGAAUACAUACACAAUCAUCUAACAACCGCGAGAGCACAAUCAGUGCCUAUCAUUCAAGAGCAAGCAACACGUGUAAGGCAUACAAGUGAUAAAAGAGAGAUGUACUUAUCUAUUUAUCCAUUUAACUUUAUACAAUUAUUACAACUUGUAUUCUUCCAAAACUGUACAAUGUAUACAUAAUCCUCUCAACCUCACCCUAUACAACAUCUACGCUCGAACAUAAAUACAGGGUAGGGCUAAUGCAAAAAGGAGGAUAGCUAACUAAAACAUGAACCUCUAGGGCGCUACGCCCUUGCCGCGAUCCUCUCCCGGGACGCUCGAGCUCGGACCUGCAGUGUGGUGGAGUGAGAACUACGAAUAGUUCCCAGUGGGUUACACACACACACAAGAGGAGAUGAUGGAAAGAGGCAGAUCUUUGUGGAUAUUUAAACAAGCGCCGAUUCAAAUGAAUAAGGGAAAUCGACAGAACAUGUGUCAAUUUAUACCGGCACUGAUCCUAAGCUAUGAACCUUCUGAGACAGUAAUAAAUUGAAAUCUUAUGGUAAGUUAUAAUGAAGUGUGGUCGGUCAAGCAUGCGCGAAGAGAUUAGUUAAGCAAUAAAGAAAGCUGAGGAGCGCGAGCGCUGAUAUUGAGCUCACAAAAGUUUUGAUUAAUUUCUGAGUGUUAAGUGACACUCGGAAGAGAGUUGUAGUCUUAUCCCUUAAAUUCGCUGAAAGUCUGCUUGUUGAUCCUUUUACUUCUCCGAUGGAGAAUUUGUGAUAUACUUUCACUGCGGACAAGGUCGCUGUUUAGUAUUGUGAAAAGUGAAGUGGUAGUAAACUAGUCUUUCAGUAAAGUAAGAUUAGUAUACAUUGGAAAACAGAUAGCGAACUCUGAGCUGCUACAUGCAAAGUGUGAUAGAAACUUGGAUUUGACCCUAGCUAUGCAGGGAUGGAAGAGAAAUAUUGUCUAGUUGGAAUAUGAGCAUUGUUCGUUGCUAUAGCACAGCAAGUGAGCCAAUGUUGUUGGGGGCUCGGAUGAAAUGGAAUUGGUGACUAUUCUCUAAACCAUUCGGAGUGUAAUGAGAAUUAAAGGUAGAACGGUUAAAGACUGUUUCCUAGAGCCUUUACACAACCUAGAUUGUAUUUCUGAUGAUUAGUUAGUGGUAAGCGGCUACUGAUGUUUGGAAACAUGGUUAGAUGAUGCUUCUGAUGUUAUGCGGCUGAGUUAAUUGAGUGUCUAACCUCUUCAAUUAAUUUGAGUACACGAAAUUUGUGUUUAGUUAGAUCCUAAGUUGUCCUAAUGAGCACUGAGGAGUGCUAUCUAUAGAGAGAUCGCGAUCGGUUGGACACUUGAUGUUAGUUGUCGGCGUAGACUUGUUAUGAAUUGGAUUGUGGCAGCCUUGAAGAGUGAAUUGCCGUAGCUACUUUGCAGUGGCUAAGUGUGGAAGCGGGCCAUGAUUAACCUCUUAGCGCUGUUGGCUCCGCCAACUAGGCUGCUAGAGCGUUAAGAGUGGGAUGAAGACUCCUGAAAUACGAGCAUGUCGUCCAGACUACGUUGGGCGGCUGUAUGUGUUGUGACGAUCCUUGCCUAGACGCCUUUUUGUAUGUGGAUCCCUGCCCAUUGGCAGCGCGCAGUCAGUCUCUGCGAGAGCAGCGGCCCGUACCUACGGGUAUAGGCAGAGAGUUUUGGUCAGGACGUUCCUUCCAGCAUAGAACCGACGACGAAUAGCCAUAAGUUUAGAUCAGUGAGAUCGAGACACAACACAGGCCGUGUCAGCUGACGCCAACCGAGCGGGAAUUAGAACGUAGGAGUGUCUGGAGACGCUCCCCCUCCGCUCUCGGGGUGCUUGCGACAGUUGAGUAGGUAAAGGUACUCCAAAUGAGAAACUUUUGCGUGGUCGUGAUAAAUUGUGGGUUUACGCUUGCGAGCUGAGAAGCUAUUAUUCGAUGGUCACGGUAUGUUAUGUGGCAAUCGCGGCUAUACGGAUGCUGGAUAACUUAUAACCAAUUGUGUAUGGGUUUACCCCUCUUCAUUACUGAAAGCGAGUGUAAGUGGACCCAUUAUUCGCAUGGUUUGUGAGUAGGGCGUGAUACGUGAAGAAAAAGCUUAGUCUCAACUGUAUGACAUUGCUCAGACUUGCUACGCUAACAUGCGAUAUUGUGACCGGAACAAGAUAGGACGCUCGCAGAAUGGGAAACUGGCGACAACAAAGUGUCUCGAGAACUGAUGUGGAGCAAUCAGUAUCUAAGUAUUUAGAAAUCGAAAUUGAGAACAUGUAUCGACAAUCAUAGCCUAUUCGCUCGGGAAUUUAUCUCCAUCCCGCCACUAAGUAGGAGACGAAUGACAGACUGAUAUCAAAGGAUCGUUCGGCCGGACGCGCGCAACCAUGGCCGGACACCUUUUUGUAACCCGAGAAGCGAGAUAUGAGUGUAAGGACCUAUGGAAUACUUGGAGCUGCGAUGCUCAACUUGAACGCUUAGAGGGUUCAAAGUGAAGGGAUUGAAGCUUAGUUGGUACAUCAUCCCCGGGAGGGAUUUGGAUGCGUGUGAAUGAACUUGGUGGGAGAAUAAGAGGUGAGAGGGGUGGUGCGGCGCAAAUGUGCGCGAAACGAAAUAUAAAGAGAUAUUCCGNNNNNNNNNNNNNNNNNNNNNNNNNCGCCGCUCGACCGCCGAUCUCCCACUAAGGCUUGAAGCAGGUCACAGAUAGAAUAUGCAGAUAGAUAGAUUAGUACGAAACUGAAAGCAAUAAACAUGUAAUAAGCAAUAUAAUCUAUCGCAAAUGCCUUAACCAGUGAAAUGCAUGCAUGAAAUUCAGGAUGGAUUUCCGACGCUAACUUUGAUUAAAAGAAUUAAAGUAAGGCGUGAGGAUAAAUUGUGGUAUCUUCGAAUCAAUCGUGAAGUUUUGGAAAAGCCAAGGGUGUGCUUUCAAAGGGUUUUGAAGUGUUCAGUGCGAAGUGGUAAUGCAAAAAGGAGAAAUUUCUGCCGUAUAAUGAAAUUGGAGCUGAUUCUAUUGCUAAUUCGGCUCCAAUAAUGUCAAAGUGCAAAGGAAUUGCUUCCAAAUUGGAUUGGUAGCUUGUGAAGGUCCCUUGAUAUCUUUUGGACAUGUUUGGGUGAAAUCGGAGUGAAAACGGAAACUUUAGAAUUUUCUGUAAAGAACGGGACUGAGAAAAUUAGCAGAAAAUGCACAGUGUCAGAAAAUUAUGAAAAUUGGCAGAGAUGUCAGGAACAUUUUUAUGAGGCUAGAUUUGAAGUUUUAGAUUUUUCUGACACCUGUAGAGAGAGAAAUAGCAUCUGGAAGUUAUCUGAUAAAGAUUACAGUUCGGGACAGUUCGCAGUGACCAAACGGGGUCGAAACUGAAAUGUUAAAAUUUCAGUGGACUUGUUAAGUAAAAACGAACAUUCCUGCCAAAUUUGAGCUCAAUCGGACUGUCGGAAGGACUUACGAAAGGUAUUUGAUCCGUGUUGCUACAUGGACUUAAGUCGAGGGGCAUUAUGGUAAUUAACCUAUGCUUAGUGGAAUUCCACUAAGUUCCCUGCCAGGAUGCUUCCAUCCUUAUCCCCCUCUUCAGCCAUCAUACGUAGAGAGAGAGAGAGAGAGAGAGAGAGAAAAGAAGGAGAAAGAGAAGAAGAAGAGAAAGGAGAAAAGAGAAGAAGAAGAAAAAAAGAGAAGAAGAAGAAGAAGAAAAGAGGUAAGAUUUUAACCUCU